GGUAGCCGGCCUGAGANGGCGACCGGCCACACUGGGACUGAGACACGGCCCAGACUCCUACGGGAGGCAGCAGUGGGGAAUAUUGGGCAAKGGAGGAAACUCUGACCCAGCGACGCCGCGUGNGGGAUGAAGGCCUUCGGGUUGUAAACCSCUUUCAKURGGGAAGAAGCGAAAGUGACGGUACCUNCAANAGAAGCACCGGCUAACUAUGUGCCAGCAGCCGCGGUAAUACAUAGGGUGCAAGCGUUGUCCGGAAUUAUUGGGCGUAAAGAGCUCGUAGGUCGUUUGUUACGUCGGAUGUGAAAACCUGAGGCUCAACCUCAGGCCUGCAUUCGAUACGGGCAAACUAGAGUUUGGUAGGGGA
This 364-nucleotide ribosomal RNA is filed under the name uncultured bacterium. RNAcentral's name for it is "partial 16S ribosomal RNA". It matches the Rfam family "Bacterial small subunit ribosomal RNA", at positions 282 to 658 of the family's 1533-position model. The record is from RNAcentral.